Molecule: ribosomal RNA, 253 nt
Filed under: uncultured bacterium
Lineage: Bacteria
Description: partial 16S ribosomal RNA
Rfam family: Bacterial small subunit ribosomal RNA
Source: RNAcentral
UACGUAGGCAGCAAGCGUUGUUCGGAGUUACUGGGCGUAAAGAGUGCGUAGGUGGUGCCCUAAGUCUGUUGUGAAAUCUCCCGGCUUAACUGGGAGGGUGCGGUGGAAACUGGGGUGCUUGAGUGUGGGAGAGGUAAGCGGAAUUCCUGGUGUAGCGGUGAAAUACGUAGAUAUCAGGAGGAACACCGGUGGUGUAGACGGCUUACUGGACCACGACUGACACUGAGGCACGAAAGCGUGGGUAGCAAACAGG